RNAcentral lists this ribosomal RNA (431 nucleotides) under uncultured bacterium. Its description in RNAcentral is "partial 16S ribosomal RNA". It matches the Rfam family "Bacterial small subunit ribosomal RNA", at positions 29 to 505 of the family's 1533-position model. The record is from RNAcentral.
AACGAACGCUGGCGGCAUGCCUAACACAUGCAAGUCGAACGAGACCUUCGGGUCUAGUGGCGCACGGGUGCGUAACGCGUGGGAACCUGCCCUUAGGUUCGGAAUAACUCCCCGAAAGGGGUGCUAAUACCGGAUAAUGUCUUCGGACCAAAGAUUUAUCGCCUUUGGAUGGGCCCGCGUUGGAUUAGCUAGUUGGUAGGGUAAAAGCCUACCAAGGCGACGAUCCAUAGCUGGUCUGAGAGGAUGAUCAGCCACACUGGGACUGAGACACGGCCCAGACUCCUACGGAAGGCAGCAGUGGGGAAUAUUGGACAAUGGGCGAAAGCCUGAUCCAGCAAUGCCGCGUGAGUGAUGAAGGCCUUAGGGUUGUAAAGCUCUUUUACCCGGGAUGAUAAUGACAGUACCGGGAGAAUAAGCUCCGGCUAACUCCG